AACUCAACGGCAGUGGGUUUGGUUUUGUGGAGUCAGCAUGUAUAGCGGUGAAAGUUCUAGAGACCAUGAUCUAAUCAAGUAGAAAGUAGAGGGGAUUUGCACACAAGCAGUUGCUGGAAGCCUUGCAGCCUGUACCAGUGUGGGGUUUCCUUUCAGAGGGCUUGAAGCCCUGUCUGGAGGUCAGGUUAGCAGUGUAGAUAAGACCAGUCAGGUGAACAGCUCCUUAGCUGCAGAUUGGUACUUGGAGACCUGUGGGGUGCUGGGCCCUGUGUGAGCUGCUGGACCCAUAAAGGUGAGUGCCACACCAUCACUGUACUUAUACUCACUUUCUAACACCAUGAAAUAAAAAUAACAACACAGAAAGCUUUUUUUUUUUUUGAGUCCUUGCUCUGCUAGGCACUGGGGCUGUGGUGGUGAAUAAGACCCACAUGAUCCCUGCCCAGCAGGGAGGGAAGUAGGCUGGCCAAUUUGUCCCAGUUUGCCUAGGACUCUCUCAGUUUGAGUACUGAAAGGCCUGUGUCCCAGGAACCCCUCAGCCCUGGACAAAUCAGGACAGUUAGGCCCUCGACAGGUAAGUCAACAGUUGAGACAAUAGCUACAAACACGUUGAGUGACAGAUGCACUGUGUCACCCGGUUACAGCACACUUGGAAGUCAGUGGCUCUGGAAGCUAGGUGGAGAAUGGCUGGUCAGGGACAAAAAUGGAGCAGGGAAGGCUAGAUAGAUAAACAGCUCUUGUAGUAGUCCAAGGGAGAGAUGAUGGCGGUGUGGAUUAGGCAGGUGGCUGUGAGAAUGGAAAGGAGAAGAAUCUACAGGCUAAGAGACUGGUUGGAUAUGUAGAGUGGAGAAUCGAGAAAUGCCUGGGUUUCAGGCUUGAACAGCCAACAGUAGAGAACCUUGCAGGAGGUGGCAGUUAGAAGGGAAGUGACAAUGAGUUCAGUUUUAGGUGUGAUGAGUUUGAGGCCCCAAGAUACACUCGCUGGCUUUAGCAAAGUGCACAGAGUCAGGUUUGCUAGCCCUUGGUUUUCAAGGCUUCCAACAAAUAGUUCCUGGGUGCUGCCAUAUGCUAGGCGUGGAGUGGGUGAUCAGACACAAUGAGCAGCAAAUGUGAUGCUAUCACUCACUCAUGGAGCAGAAAUUACUAACCACAUGAAUCGUGUAAUUGCAAUCACAGGUAAGCUCUCUGGAGCAUGGGAGCUCGACCUGGGCCAGAGGCCCUGUGAAAGCUUUCUUAAGGAAACGACUUUGAGACUGAGAGCCAGAGGAACCGGUAAGUGGUGUCAACCAGGUGCGAGAAGGGGCAAAGUUCUGGAUGGAGGCAGCAUCAUGUGUAAAGUCCCUGUGGUGCUGGGCAGCAAGCCCAGCUGAAGCUCAGAGGGAAGAGGCACGUGGUGUGAAACAAGGUUGAACAAAGGUAGUCAGAGGGCAGACCAUGCAGGGCCUUAUGGGACGUGCUCUUUUCUCUUUAAUUUUUAAACGUAUAAAUAUUACCUUUAAAAAAAAAAAAAGUCCAGAUAAAGCUGAAAUCUUACUAUCUCUCCAUUCCGGCCCUCUUCAAAUCUUAAGAAAAUAAUUUGCAGUCAUGUUCUACAUGUUUUCUUAUGGAAAUGACACAAUAUGAAGCUUAUUCUGCAAGUUGCUUUUGUCCUUUCAAUGAGAUUUUGAGACCUAUCUGUGCAGUCACAUCUUUUUACCAGCUACUCGACGUUCCGUUUUCUCUCUUCCACUCCUGAUGAAUGUCUAGGUUAUUUCCAAGGUCUCAGAAUUACAGAUAAGGUGGCAGCACCCCCUCUCAGCCACACCUCCUUAGGCACAAGUGUGAGUGUUUCUCCACGUAGCUACUAAGAGGUGAGCCUUACUAUAUCACAGAGUCGGCACAGUUUGAGCUUGAUUUAAAAAAAAAAAAUCAGAUGAGAUGCUGCCAAAUCGCCUUCAAAGUAGUGGUAACCAAUUAUUUUCCUGUCGUUUUCUAGGAUUUCUUUAUAAAUUUAGGUGGUCUAGUUUCACCUGCUUUUUCUUGAUGUUUCUUUGCUUUUGUGUCCUAUUGAGGGGGACCUUUUGGUUUUUGCUAUGUUGGUUCUUUAGCCUUGCCAUCCACUGGCUACAUUACUGGGUCUCCUGCCCACAAAUUAAUGCCAUUUCUGCCUAAGUUAGCCAGAGUCAGUUUUCGUUGGUUAGAACUAAGAAUACGAAUGAGUAGAGUCAUCAGCAAAUUUAAAAAUACAUAUGUUUUCCUCAAAUAUGUUUAAGUUUUGCUUUAACACUCUUACUAAAUCCAUCUGGAAUUUGUUUUGUGUGGUACGAAGUAGGGAUUUUAAUUUAUUUUCAUAUGGAUGGCUGCCCAGCCACUUAUUUAUUUAUUUUAAAUGUUAAUGGGCCUCAUUUAUUUUUUUUAAUAUAAUAGUCUUUAUUUUUUAGAGCACUUGCAGAGCUCUCGAAAAAUUGUAUAGGAAGUACAGAGAGUUCCUGGAUCCUCUGGUUCAGCACGGUUUCUCCUGUUAUUAACAUCUUGCAUUAGUGUAGUACCUUUGUUACAAAUGAUGAACCAGUAUUGACACGUGAUUAUAUUAAAGGCCAUAGGUUACAUGAGGGUUCACUCUGUUGUACGGUUCUAUGGGCUUUGACAAAUGCAUGCUGUCAUGUACCCACCAUCACAGUAGCAUACAGAAUAGUUCCACUGCCCUAAAAAUGCCCUGUACCCACCUCCUCUCCUCCCCCUGAACCCUGGCAACCACUGAUCUUUUCACUGUCUCUACAGUUUUUCCUUUUCCAGAAUGUCAUAGGGUUGGAAUCAUGCACUAUAUAGCCUUUCCAGACUGGCUUCUUUUGCUUAGCAAUAUCAUCCAUUUUAUUUUUUAACCUGUUUCUUAAGGAAUAGUUCAUUUUUUACCCAUAGUUUUGAUAUGCCGUCCCUAUCGUAUACCAGGGAAACCCUGGUAGCAUAGUGGUUAAGAGCUAUGCCUGCUAACCAAAAGUUUGGCAGUUCAAAUCCACCAGGCGCUCCUUGGAAACUCUGUGGGGCAGUUCUACUCUGUCCUAUAGGGUCACUAUGAGUCGGAAUCAACUCGCGGCAAUGGGUUUGGUUUGGUGGUUUUUUAUCAUAUGCCAAAUUCGCAUAUAUGCACAGGACUCUCUAGCCUGUUUCACGGACCUUCUAUUCUGUUUAUUGAUCCGACUGUCCAUUUUUGUACCCAUUUCAUGGUUUUAAUUACUACAGUUUUAUAAGAUGUCUUAAUAUCAGAUGGAAAGUGGCAAUGGGUUUGGUUUGAUCUUUUGGUUCUUCGAUGUCCUCAGGAAAGCUUUAUAACUUCCCCACAAAGAGCGUGCACGUGAGUUUAUUCACCAGAACUUUAUGGUUUUGUUGCCAUGGGCAGUAGGACCUUUACUCCUUGCCCUUUUGAAAUUGAUACUGCUGGUAUAUGGGAAAGCUGUUGAUACAGGUAUGCUGAUCAUCCACUGGCCUAGUUGGUGAAUUCUCUUGAUUAGCUCUACUAGUUUAGAUGUUUUCCAAGAUGGUCAUAUCACCUGCAGAUGAUGACAGCGUAAUCUCAUGCUUUCCAGUCAUUCGUUUAUCUUUCUUCCCUUGGCUUACAGCAUUAACUAGGGCCUCGUGUACCAUGUUGGUUAUCAGUGGUAAGAGUGAUGACCAUUUCUAAUGCGCCACCAUUAAAUCUCAUGUUUGCCAGAAGACUUUCUGUAAUCUAUGUCACAAGUUUUGCUGGAAACUUUAUCAGGUUCAGGAAGUUCCCUUCUAAUCCUAUUUGGCUGUUUGUUUUUAAAUCAUAAAUGGCUGUUGAAUUUUGCAGAGUCUCUCAUUCAGUGGAUAGAUUGCUGCCUUUGAGUCGACUCCAACUCCUGGUGACCGUAUGUACAACAGAACAAAACAUUUCCUGGUCCUGUGUCAUCCUCAUGGGCACUGUCACGUUCAAGUCCAUCGUUGCGACUAAUGUGUCAAUCUAUCUCACCAAGGGUCUCCUUCACCCUCACCGGGCCUCUACUUCAUCAACCAUGAUAUCCCUCUCAGCGAUGGAUCCCUUUUGAUGACAUGUCCAAAGCAAAUGACUCUCAGGGCUGACCUAGAACGUGAGGUCUAGAAGGAGUGGAGCACCCUCUUGUGGGCCCCUGGGUGAAAACAGGAACUAUUUCCAGAGAAGAAAGUUAGAAAAGGAACAGGACUGGAAGAGCCCCAGGGUGUAGAAUGCCCUGAACUUCUUCAAAAAUCCAGGGCACCCAGGAACACUGUUUUCAGAUGACAUAUCCCAGGAUCCUCUGGAAUUUAAUCAGCUGAUCUGAACAACUUUGGUGGGAAAUUUGAAACUGAGCAUUCUGAGGCGGACAUCACUGGCCUCUUCGCCUUCACUUGCUCUCAGCUUCAGGGUCAGGAAAGAAAGAAGCCAGCAGAGAGACAGGGGGACCUCAUGUCACCGAGAAAGCAGCUCCAGGAGCAGAGCUCUUCCUUUGGACUUGGGAUUCCUGCACGGAGAAGCUCCUAGUCCAGGGGAAGGUUGAUGACAAGGACCUUCCUCCAGAGCCAACAGAGAAAGCCUUCCCCUGGAGCUGACACCCUGAAUUUGGACUUCUAGCCUACUAGACUGAAAGAAUAAACUUCCAUUUAUUAAAGCCAUCCACUUUUGGUAUUUCUGUUAUAGCAGCACUAGAUGACUAAGACAACUCCCCAGCUAAUGUGUAAGCUCCAUGACAGCAGACGCUACAUCUGUUUUGUUUACCACCAGCAUAUACCAUGUUGUUCUUGUUAGGUGCUGUUGAGUCGAUUCUGACUCACAGUGGCCCAAUGUGACAGAGUAGAACUGCCCCAUAGGGCUUCCUAGGCUGUAACCUUUAUGGGAGCAGAUUGCCAGGUCUUUUUUCCCACAGAGUGGCUGGGUGGGUUCCAACUGCCAACUUUUGGUAACCAGCCGAGUGCUUAACCAUGGUGCCACCAAGGCUCCUUAGCAUACACUAUAAUAGCUCUUAAAUAAAUACUGGCUGAUGGAAUGAAGCCAUCAAAGAUUUGUCUGCUUUAAUGCAGUAUAUAUAAAAAUUACAAAGGUUUAUAGUUAACUGGUGGAUUUUUUUUUUUUUUCAAUCCUAGUUUAACUUGAAAUUUACAAUUACUUCUCCAUUGCCCCUGCCAAGGGAAAACACCUUAAAAAUAAGAAAAAUAACCUUUUAUUCCUUUUACGAGACUUUGCUUCUGUUCUUUUUUUUCCCCAUUUAAACUUGGUCAGCUUUAUCUGGUUUCUGGUUAAUCACUCUGUGUGUGUGUGUAUAUAUAUAUAUACACCCACAAAUUAAGGCAAGCUUUUUAAAAAAGAUGGAAUCGCUUUGUUGUUGUAGGUAUUGUUGAGUCAGUUCCAAUUCAUAGUGAUCCCUAUGUACAACAGAACAAAACACUGCUCAGUCCUGUGCCAUCCUCACAAUCAUUGCUGUGUUUGAGCCCAUGGUUACAGCCACUGUGUCAGUCCAAUCUCCUUGAGGGCCUUCCUCUUUUUCGCUGACCCUCUACUUUACCAAGCUUGAUGCUCUCCAGGAGCCGGUCUCUUCUGAUAACAUGUGUAAAGUAAGUGAGACGAAGUCUUGCCAUCCUUGCUUUUAAGGAACAUUCUGGCUGUACUAUAUGAAGAAGAAUGUGGCAUCAGGAUUGGAGGAAGACUUAUUAACAACCUGCAAUAUGCAGAUGUCACAACCUCGCUAAAAGUGAAGAGGACUGGAAACACUGAUGAAGAUCGAAGACUAUAGCCUUCAGUAUGGGAUUACACCUCAACACAAAGAAAAAAAUCCUCACAACUGGACCAAUAAUAUCAU
Loxodonta africana (African savanna elephant) is the source of this 5804-nucleotide long non-coding RNA. RefSeq lists it as uncharacterized. The record is from RefSeq and is a predicted model, not a curated record. Lineage: Eukaryota; Metazoa; Chordata; Mammalia; Proboscidea; Elephantidae. The transcript has 4 exons.